Molecule: non-coding RNA, 260 nt
Organism: Pelobates cultripes (western spadefoot toad)
Lineage: Eukaryota; Metazoa; Chordata; Amphibia; Anura; Pelobatidae
Source: the annotation of a GenBank genome assembly
AGAUUCUGUUUUAAUACCCAGUCACUCUUGAGCUCCUUAUACUCUCACCAUCACUCUGCUGUUCCGGAUCUACAUAUAUCCCUAGGUGGGGAUUGUUCCACCUAAAGCUCCAUACACUAGAGCAGGUCAUUGCUCUAGCAAAUGUAAGUAGGUCUAAUAUUAUUUACUUAUCCUACUUUUACAUACGUACUGUACCAUUGGUAUACAUCCUUAUUUUUUUUAUAUGAUGAACCGCACUACCUUGGGAAUCUGAUACCAGC